This 86-nucleotide transfer RNA is filed under the name Rhodocyclaceae bacterium. RNAcentral's name for it is "tRNA-Leu". It matches the Rfam family "tRNA". Rfam says of the family: Transfer RNA (tRNA) molecules are approximately 80 nucleotides in length. Lineage: Bacteria; Pseudomonadati; Pseudomonadota; Betaproteobacteria; Rhodocyclales; Rhodocyclaceae. The record is from RNAcentral.
GCGGGUGUGGUGAAAUUGGUAAACACAGCAGACUUAAAAUCUGCCGGCGAAUAGCCUUGCCGGUUCGAUUCCGGCCAUCCGCACCA